RNAcentral lists this non-coding RNA (110 nucleotides) under bovine gut metagenome. RNAcentral's name for it is "FMN riboswitch (RFN element)". It matches the Rfam family "FMN riboswitch aptamer (RFN element)". From Rfam's summary of the family: The RFN element is a highly conserved domain that is found frequently in the 5'-untranslated regions of prokaryotic mRNAs that encode for flavin mononucleotide (FMN) biosynthesis and transport proteins. This element is a metabolite-dependent riboswitch that directly binds FMN in the absence of proteins. The record is from RNAcentral. RNAcentral also lists the same sequence under 1 other name.
CACUCAGGGCGGGGUGAAAUUCCCCACCGGCGGUAAAGUCCGCGAGCCGUGUUUUGCGGCUGAUACGGUGAAAUUCCGUAACCGACGGUAAAGUCCGGAUGAAAGAGUAU